This 813-nucleotide ribosomal RNA is filed under the name Patescibacteria group bacterium. RNAcentral's name for it is "bacterial SSU rRNA". It matches the Rfam family "Bacterial small subunit ribosomal RNA", at positions 807 to 1533 of the family's 1533-position model. The record is from RNAcentral.
CGAUGCCUGCUUGCUGUUUCGAGUAUCGACCCUCGGAGCGGCGGAGCUAACGCGUUAAGCAGGCCGCCUGGGAAGUACGGCCGCAAGGCUAAAACUCAAAGGAAUAGACGGGGACUCGCACAAGCGGUGGAACAUGAGGUUUAAUUCGACAGUAAGCGAGGAACCUUACCAGGGCUUGAAAUUCUGGAUGACAGGUUGCCGAAAGGCGACCCUUCUCUCAAGGACAUCCAGUACAGGUGCUGCAUGGUUGUCGUCAGCUCGUGCUUUGAAGUGUUCCCUUAAGUGGGGUAACGAGCGCAACCCCUGCUCCGUGUUACAAGUGUCACGGAGGACUGCCCAGCCCUUUGCGCACAAGCGCAAAGAAAUUAAAAUUCCAAUUAUCAAAUUUCCAAACGUUUGGAAAUUGAAAUUUUGGAAAUUAUAAUUUACUUUGUUCGCUUGCGAACAAGGGGCUGGGAGGAAGGAGGGGAUGACGUCAAAUCCGCAUGGCCCUCUGAUGCCCUGGGCGACACUCGUGUUACAAUGGCCAAGACAAUGGGUUGCCAACCCGUAAGGGGGAGCUAAUCCCAUCAAACUUGGUCUCAGUUCGGACUGAGGGCUGCAACUCGCCCUCACGAAGCUGGAAUCGCUAGUAAUCGCAAAUCAGCCACGUUGCGGUGAAUACGUUCUCGAGUCCUGUACUCACUGCCCGUCAUUGCAAGGAAGCCGGGAAAGGAUGAAGAUCGCCUCGUGCGAUUCAGUUCUAGCUCGGUGACACGGCAAAAGUCGUAACAAGGCACGCGUAGCGGAAGCUGUGCGUGGAUCAAUUAAACU